RNAcentral lists this ribosomal RNA (381 nucleotides) under uncultured Lactobacillus sp. RNAcentral describes it as "bacterial SSU rRNA". It matches the Rfam family "Bacterial small subunit ribosomal RNA", at positions 173 to 525 of the family's 1533-position model. The record is from RNAcentral. Lineage: Bacteria; Bacillati; Bacillota; Bacilli; Lactobacillales; Lactobacillaceae.
GAAAAGCAGAUCGCAUGAUAAGCUUUUAAAGGACGGCGUAAAGCUGUCGCUAUGGGGAUGGCCCCGCGGUGCAUUAGCUAGUUGGCAAGGUAAAGGGCUUACCAAGGCGAUGAUGCAUAGCCCGAGUUGAGAGACUGAUCGGGCCACAUUGGGGACUGAGACACGGGCCCAAACUCCUACGGGAGGCAGCAGUAGGGAAUCUUCCACAAUGGACGCAAGUCUGAUGGAGCAAACGCCGCGUGAGUGAAGAAGGUUUUCGGAUCGUAAAAAGCUCUGUUUGUUUGGUGAAGAAGGAUAGAGGUAGUAACUGGUCCCUUUUAUUUGACGGUAAUCAACCCAGAAAGUCACGGGCUAACUACGUGCCCAGCAGCCGCGGUAAAU